Triticum urartu is the source of this 275-nucleotide non-coding RNA. The record is from RefSeq and is a predicted model, not a curated record. Lineage: Eukaryota; Viridiplantae; Streptophyta; Magnoliopsida; Poales; Poaceae.
CGCGGUCCACUCCAUCGCUGCCAACCUGCCCUAGCAAGUUAGCAAGGUGCAGGUAUCUCAAGCACUGCCUCCGUACCACAGACAGCAGCAGCUCGUGUUGUUUCAAAGCUGUUAUAGAUAUCAUUGACAAGAGGUAAACUCAAGAUGCCACUACAUUUGGCUGGGUACUGACAGUUGUACUCCAUUGAAGUACUGUUACUAUUAAAUGUGCAAACUGAAUUUGGUGUAGCAGCAUACUGAAUUUGGAGUAUGAAGUAGCUGUAUGGAUUACUGUU